RNAcentral lists this ribosomal RNA (405 nucleotides) under uncultured bacterium. Its description in RNAcentral is "bacterial SSU rRNA". It matches the Rfam family "Bacterial small subunit ribosomal RNA", at positions 355 to 775 of the family's 1533-position model. The record is from RNAcentral.
CGAAGAAUUUUCGGCAAUGGGCGCAAGCCUGACCGAGCAACGCCGCGUGUGUGAUGAAGUCCCUAGGGAUGUAAAGCACUGUCGGAGGGGAUGAAUAAAUGACAGUACCCUCCAAGAAAGCCCCGGCUAACUACGUGCCAGCAGCCGCGGUAAUACGUAGGGGGCGAGCGUUAUCCGGAUUUACUGGGCGUAAAGCGCGUGUAGGCGGUUGCGUAAGUUAGUUGUGAAAUCCCUCGGCUCAACCGAGGAACUGCAGCUAAUACUGCGCGGCUGGAGUGGCAGAGAGGAAAGUGGAAUAUCCGGUGUAGUAGUGAAAUGCGUAGAUAUCGGAUGGAACACCAGUGGCGAAGGCGACUUUCUGGCUGCUAACUGACGCUGAGACGCGAAAGCUAGGGGAGCGAACGG